UUUAGAUAUAUUACUUUUUAUUUCCAAAUGGUCAAGUUCUCACUCAUCAAGUAAGUUUAACUUGUAUUUGUUUCAACUUAAUGCUCUAAAAUGUUAUAGUUUCUGGAUUCUUCUAAGAAAGUGAGAAAAAGGGAAUUUGGGGCUCUUGCUAGAGACUUUGUAUUUUAGGCAUUUAUUCAGAAAUGAUAGUUUCUAGAUUAAGAGGCCUGAACAUUUCUUACCUCAAUGUUCUGAGAAAGGAGCAACAAGCAUUAGUUAAGAACAGAGUAAACCACGAGUCAAAGUUAACCCAAUUUUCACAGACUACAAAAGAGAAAAUUAAGUUUUAUCCCAGAAUACUUUGGGGUUCAUGUUCCCACCUGCACCCCUUUACUUCCCGGCCUCAAGGUACAAGCCUUCAGAAACCAGGGAGCUUAUUUGUAUAAAGAACAGAGUAAUGCAGAAAAAAAUACCUGCAGAAGUGAUGGACCUCAAGCAACUGCUGUAGCGACUAGUUUUCAGAAAGCCAGUCUCCCACAAAUGCUUUUGCAGCUCCAUUAUUUUGUACAAAGAGAUGUGAUUAGAUUUACAAGCAGCAAAAAAAGAAUCUUGUGUUUCAAUUCUCCUCUCAAACGAAGUACAAUUUUGUUUUCUAUAUGACUGCUGUCUUGGGUGAAUAUUCUGAGAUCAGGUCCUUGGCAUAACACUAAAACCAAGAGUUGUGAAGUUCGCCCAUGUUAACACUCAAUUUUAUCUUUUUUUUUCUUAAAAAAAAAAAAGAAUCUUGUGCGACAAGAACCACUGAAAGGUAACUUCAGAGUAAAAACCAGAGCUUCUUGUGAAAAUAAGCGUUUCAUCUGACAGGAAUAAAACAUAUUUACAGAAGACAUUAAAAGUUUUAAAGUCUUAAAAUCUACUGGGAAACCUGAUACAAACCAGAUCAGAUUAAAUGUACUUGAAAAUUCAGAGCAAUACAAUACAGAAACAAUUGCAUUUAUAUACAGUUCUAGAAGCAACAAAAACUACAUUAUGCUUGAGAUAUUAAUAAUAAACCAGGGGGGAGGUGUGGACAUGGAAACACUCAGAUGUAUGUUUCCACAGAAGGUUUGAAACUGCUUUGUGACAAAACAGGCAAGAAAAACACUUUUAUCCAAAAUUACUCUUGAGCUCCAACUGCAGCUCUCCGAGGGUGUCCCUCUACGGGCAUGUGUGCAGUCAACCUCGGGCUGCCAGAUCACGAACUAAGCUCCUUUGUGUAUGAAACCCCAUCAGUCCCUUAAUAUCAUCAUGCAGUUUUUAUGUAUUUUUAUUUGUCAGCAAUGGAAUGAAAAAGGAAAAUAAAAGAGUAUAUGCAAGUUAUAUAGAUGAGUAUUGCACUAGAAACAAUUCCAGCACAAGUUACAGAAGAUUCAAAAUUAAAUGUGAAACAUCAAGUAAUGCCAUGAAAAAUUAGCUUCCCACUCCUCCAUUAGAGGUUCAGUUGAUUCAAAUAAUGACACUUCAGAGGAAAGGAAACAUGAGACCUCUUUCCCUCCUGGAUGCCAGAUGCAACACAGGAAGAGUUCUGUUCCAUAACCAAUGUUGGGAACAAACUGACUUGAUUUCCACCUCCAGCAGAAACUCCUAUCAUCUAACCCAACACAAGUUUAGCACACUGUUAAAAGCUCAUCAGAGAUGGCAAGCGUGAAACAACUAGCAGGUCCCUCGCGUAAGGGACAACCCUUGCUUAACAGCCGAGAGCCCCGAUAGCACAUCACUUGGAAACAUGCCCUGCCACUGCCUACAGGUCAUGAUCUACAAAGGGUAUGAAUUUCAAAGGACUGUCAAUCUGACACCUUUUGGCAGUAUUCAAUUCACAGGAGACUUUAAUAAAGCAAAUAAUACUAGUUUGACAAUGUCAGAAUUAUCACAGGCAUCAAUC
RNAcentral lists this long non-coding RNA (1900 nucleotides) under Strigops habroptila (Kakapo). Its description in RNAcentral is "lncRNA (ENSSHBG00005018173.1)". Lineage: Eukaryota; Metazoa; Chordata; Aves; Psittaciformes; Psittacidae. The record is from RNAcentral.